This 536-nucleotide ribosomal RNA is filed under the name uncultured bacterium. RNAcentral describes it as "bacterial SSU rRNA". It matches the Rfam family "Bacterial small subunit ribosomal RNA", at positions 304 to 857 of the family's 1533-position model. The record is from RNAcentral.
CCGGCCACAUUGGGACUGAGACACGGCCCAAACUCUUACGGGAGGCAGCAGUGGGGAAUACUGCACAAUGGGGGAAACCCUGAUGCAGCGACGCCGCGUGAGCGAUGAAGUAUUUCGGUAUGUAAAGCUCUAUCAGCAGGGAAGAAAAUGACGGUACCUGACUAAGAAGCACCGGCUAAAUACGUGCCAGCAGCCGCGGUAAUACGUAUGGUGCAAGCGUUAUCCGGAUUUACUGGGUGUAAAGGGAGCGUAGACGGAGUGGCAAGUCUGAUGUGAAAACCCGGGGCUCAACCCCGGGACUGCAUUGGAAACUGUCAAUCUAGAGUACCGGAGAGGUAAGCGGAAUUCCUAGUGUAGCGGUGAGAUGCGUAGAUAUUAGGAGGAACACCAGUGGCGAAGGCGGCUUACUGGACGGUAACUGACGUUGAGGCUCGAAAGCGUGGGGAGCAAACAGGAUUAGAUACCCUGGUAGUCCACGCCGUAAACGAUGACUACUAGGUGUCGGGCAGCAAAGCUGUUCGGUGCCGCAGCAAACG